CAGCUGGGUCGGUCAGUCAGUCGGUCGGUCGGUCGAUCUGUCGGUCGGUCGGUCGGUUGGUUUUUU
Molecule: microRNA precursor, 66 nt
Filed under: Chlorocebus sabaeus (green monkey)
Lineage: Eukaryota; Metazoa; Chordata; Mammalia; Primates; Cercopithecidae
Description: miRNA (ENSCSAG00000023249.1)
Source: RNAcentral